CGUGCCAGCAGCCGCGGUAAUACGGAGGGUGCAAGCGUUAUCCGGAUUUAUUGGGUUUAAAGGGUGCGUAGGCGGAAUAGUAAGUCAGUGGUGAAAUCCUGCGGCUCAACCGUAGAACUGCCAUUGAUACUGUUAUUCUUGAAUGUAGUUGAGGUAGGCGGAAUGUGUAAUGUAGCGGUGAAAUGCUUAGAUAUUACACAGAACACCGAUUGCGAAGGCAGCUUGCUAAGCUACGAUUGACGCUGAUGCACGAAAGCGUGGGGAGCGAACAGGAUUAGAUACCCUGGUAGUCCACGCUGUAACCUAUGAUCACUCGUUGUUUGCGAUAUACAGUAAGCGACUGAGCGAAAGCAUUAAGUGAUCCACCUGGGGAGUACGUUGGCAACAAUGAAACUCAAAGGAAUUGACGGGGGCCCGCACAAGCGGAGGAACAUGUGGUUUAAUUCGAUGAUACGCGAGGAACCUUACCUGGGUUUAAAUGUAGGUUGCAUAGAGGGGAAACUCUCUUUUCCUUCGGGACUACCUACAAGGUGCUGCAUGGUUGUCGUCAGCUCGUGCCGUGAGGUGUCGGGUUAAGUCCCAUAACGAGCGCAACCCUUAUCGUUAGUUGCCAUCAGGUCAUGCUGGGGACUCUAACGAGACUGCCGGUGUAAACCGUGAGGAAGGUGGGGAUGACGUCAAAUCAGCACGGCCCUUAUAUCCAGGGCUACACACGUGUUACAAUGGUCGGUACAAAGAGCAGCCACUUGGCGACAAGGCGCUAAUCUCGAAAGCCGAUCACAGUUCGGAUCGGAGUCUGCAACUCGACUUCGUGAAGUUGGAU
This 823-nucleotide ribosomal RNA is filed under the name uncultured organism. RNAcentral describes it as "bacterial SSU rRNA". It matches the Rfam family "Bacterial small subunit ribosomal RNA", at positions 504 to 1331 of the family's 1533-position model. The record is from RNAcentral.